AACAUGAACUAUGAUUAUAACACCUUUGAAAUGAUCUAGAUGUUGUAGGCCAAAUCACUUUCGUCCAAGGGUCAAACUUGAAUGAUCCAACUUCUACUCAACGUUUGGUUUUGCGAUACCGGAUUGAUUCGUAAGCUAGCACUUCCAAACCAAAAAAAAAUAAUGAACAAAACUUUAAAAUUGAACUGAUACUUCCGUCUUUUUAUUUUAAGGUCUGUUAUUGUCUACUUAUCACUAUGGGAUGAUGUCGCCGCAACCUUUCGUGCCCAUCUUAGCUCUGGUGAUACAAUUUACUCGGUCAUGCUUGAGGACGAGCUGAGGAGCUUGAGGACGAGCUGAGGAGCUUGAGGACGAGCAAAGGAGCUUGAGGACGAGCAGAGGAGCUUGAGGACGAGCUGAGGAGCUUGAGGGCGAGCUGAUAAGCUUGAGGACGAGCAGAGGAGCUAGAGAACGAGCUGAGGAGCUUGAAGACGUUUUAAUAUGGAUUUCUUCGUCCUUUUUUCCUUGAGAUGCCUCUCUAUUUAUAGAAAAACUAAGCUGGUGAUAGGAUCAUGGACCAACUUUUAUGGGCUUUUUGGGCUUGAUGUUGAUUAGUUUAUUCUUGAUUUGGGCCGAGCUAAAAUGAGGGGUGCAAUCCAUCCCCCAACAUGCCCCAUGGAGCUUUCCGUAUUUUUCUUCCCCAGAAGCUCAAACAUCAACAGUUAUUCACUAAAAGGUACUUAAAUACAUGGCUUAAUUCCUACAAAAUUCUACUACUUGCAAUUAAAUUCAUACUUUUAAUAUCUCAAAUCGAAAUUGUAACUGGAGAAAAGCAAAAACCUCCUAUAGAUCUUCCUUUAAAUUACUAUAAAAUCAUCAUCUCCUAUACUAGGUGCAUCAGCAAACGAUGAACGCGUGCUCAAAACCCUUAAUCUUGCUCCGUUGGUGAAGAAACCGUUAUCAUGCCGCAAACACCAUCUUAUUAUGAAGAAAUGUCUUGCCAACAACAACCCGGAUGCUCACUACAUAAAAGGUAUAAUAUGGUACUUUAACCUUGAUCAUUGUGACGUUGGUCUCCACCAUAUUGGCAUAGCAGCUAACGGAGGCCAGAAAGAAGCAAUCUACAUGUAUGUCAUGCUAUUAUUAUGUAGAGGAAGGACUGAAGAGGGAAAAACCUAUAUGAGCCAACUUGAAUGGGCUAAAGACACCACCAUGGCUGAAACGUGUUGGAAACAAAUCAAAACUUCACUAAAUGGGAUUAGAGUGGCGAGAAAAAGAUGCUACAUGAUAUCACUUCGCAACAUGAAACCCCCCGACGUGUGCCAUCCAAGAAAUUUGGACAACACAUGUGAGAAAUGUUUUUUCUACAAACAAAUGUUUAAGUUUAUUUUUAUGGUAUAACUUAAACAAAACAACUAGAGAGUUGGAAACUGUUUUUAAAAAAUUCCCUAUAAUGUUUGUGGCAGUGAACUAUCACAAAGACUCAAAACAAAGUAAAAGUUAUUACUCUUAUUUCUUUUGCUUUAAUGUGUGUCAUUCCUUGCUGUUAUAAGGAAAUUU
RNAcentral lists this small RNA (1539 nucleotides) under Arabidopsis thaliana (thale cress). RNAcentral describes it as "ATSL010040". The record is from RNAcentral. Lineage: Eukaryota; Viridiplantae; Streptophyta; Magnoliopsida; Brassicales; Brassicaceae.